CUUUCUGACCUAGCCACCAUUCACAAGCCCCUCUCUCUUUAUCCACCGCUUUUGCACCGUUUAAUCACAAUACUUUCCUCAUACUCGAUACCAGAAACCUUAAAUUAACCAGCCAAACCAACCAUUUCUAUCUAAUAGCAUGACGAAGCCAUAAAAGAUAUCAACAACAAACAAGGCGAGGUUCCCGUUCACUACUCGAUACAUCAAGUUCCAUACUCUACUGUUGAGUGUUUGUACAACUAGACUUCCAAGUGAUGUUACCAUUACCAUUGGUGAAGUUUCUUUUCCCCGUGAAGGUGACCGUUUUUUUAUUGAAAAAUGUUAAUUGUUAAUAAAUUAAUCUCUUCACCCGGGUUUGAACUAUAAAAAUUCACCCUUUAUUACCCUUAGCUCAACCAAGUGAGAUACCCUUCCCUUCACAAGGUAAUUGUUUUACGUUUGCUUGUUGCAUACAUUUUUAUUUUUCUUCUCAAUAUUUACUUGUGAAGGAGGUAAAGUCAAGACAAAAUGCACAGUAAUGUGAAAGGUGAGAGCCCACUAUUUUAUGUUGGUGCAUCUUUGGAAUCCUGUAUCAGCACUUGCAAAGCUUCAACAACAAGAUGGCAAAGAUUGCAGUGACACCCUCAACAGUUUUCGCAGAAUUUGUAUUGUAUAGGAAGAAGUUGUUUGUCCAAGGUCUUUGCCGAAGCCCGGAGCUCUAGCGAGUGAUGAUUUGGCAAGCUGACUAUGUUAAUAAAGCUUAUGUGGAAUUUAAAAAUAAAAAAUAACAAAUCAGAAGAAGCGUCCAAAGAGAAGAACUGAAGACAGAAAAGAAAUAGUCAUGUGCAUCCUGAGAAUGCUACAAGACUUGCCUCAACAUGAAAGCAAAAGUUCAACUCAAUCAAACUUCAUCACUCAAAGCAUCAAAUAUUCACUUCAUGUGUAGAAUAACAAAGAGUGCUAAAGAGAGAGAUGAAUGGUGUAAAGGAAAGACUAUGAGACUAUGUCAUUCCAGCAAGCACUAAAAUCCGACAGUGUCUAUACAUUUAUAGUUUGAUCAAUUGAAGCACUCAAAGUCAAGACAAUGUGCAAAAGCCUUUCACAAGUCUCUACAAACGUCUGAUCUAUCCAAUGAUAUCGGGAAAUGUAUCACAAGAAAUUAGGGUUUGAAUUAUGUUCCCUACAAACGUGAGUUUUUCAAACGAUUAUAAGUUUAGAAAGAGUUUUCGCAAUCGUUUGAUGCAGCAGAUGAAUAUGAAGAUAGUGAAAAAUAAAUAACACUAAGCACACAUCAAUGUAUCCUAGUUCACCCAAAAACGAUGAGGCUACGUCCAGUCCGUGGAAGCUCGGGCCCACCAGAAACCGUGGUUGGAGCGAAAUCUGUAUAAGUUGCUUAUGAGUUGCUUAAAUCAUAUGUCGCAGCUCGAGCCCACUAGAAUAGUGUUUAAGCAACUCAAAUAGCAACUCAUGGAGAUGCUCUAACUAGGGCUGUGUAUACUGGCUCGAACUGAAUCUGAGCAAACUAGUAGUUUUUUACGAAACGCACCAGUUCGGUUUGGCCGUGGGUUUGACCAGUCCACUUAUAUGGGUUCAUGUUGGUUUGACUGGUCGGUUUUGAUUUGGGCUCGCGCCUGACCGAAGUGUGGAAGUAUUAAAAAACCCUGCCUAAACACUCUUAGUCAGAAAAUUAAAAAAAGUUCAACCCACUUACUUUAGAUUAACUGAACCAUAGCCCUAGCCCCUUCUCUCAUUCACUCACCCACUCUCGUUCUCUCACUCUAGUUCUCUCACUCUCACCCUCUCUUGGCUCUUGCUGGGUGUUGUGAACCCUAACCUUACCACAGUCGCGGAUGCCACCACUGUCGUUGCUUCCCAUUGGCCCGAAGCUACGUCUUGGUCCUAUUCGCAGUUGCAGCGAGAUCUUACCGACAAAAACCAUAACACGUAACCUCAUCACUUCAGUGGUUCCAUGGCUUCAUCAUCCUCAAGAUCGAAGAUUUAUGGAUGUGCAUGUCAUCCUCAUCCAAUCCUCAAUUCAUGGAUUCCCAACUCAAGUCUUCAACUUUAUCUAGUUUCUCAUCUUUUCUUAUCUUCUAUUGUAAAAUUUUAA
Long non-coding RNA from Lotus japonicus, 2089 nucleotides. RefSeq lists it as uncharacterized. The transcript is spliced from 4 exons. The record is from RefSeq and is a predicted model, not a curated record. Lineage: Eukaryota; Viridiplantae; Streptophyta; Magnoliopsida; Fabales; Fabaceae.